UCAAGAAGAGAAGGGCGCACGGUGAAUGCCUGGGCACUAGAAGCCGAUGAAGGACGUGACGAACCACGAAAGGCUACGGAGAGCUGUAAGUAAGCUAAGACCCGUAGAUAUCCGAAUGGGGGAACCCGGUGCAGCGAUGCAUCAUUAAAUACUGUUAAGGUAUUUAAAGGAAGACGCAAUGAACUGAAACAUCUAAGUAGCUGCAGGAAGAGAAAGAAAAAUCGAUUUCCUAAGUAGCGGCGAGCGAAAGGGAAAGAGCCCAAACCAUUGAAUUUAUUCAGUGGGGUUGUAGGACUACGAUGUGAGACAGAGAGGUAUAGUUGAAGUCUUUGGGAAAAGACGCCAGAGAGGGUGAGAGCCCCGUAAGCGAAAUAGCUCGAAGCUCUAGUAGUAUCCUGAGUAGGCCGGGACACGAGGAAUCCCGGUUGAAGCAGCGAGGACCAUCUCGCAAGGCUAAAUACUAACUAGUGACCGAUAGUGAACCAGUACCGUGAGGGAAAGGUGAAAAGAACCCCGGAAGGGGAGUGAAAGAGAACCUGAAACCGUGUGCCUACAAGUAGUCAAAGCACAUUAAAGUGUAAUGGCGUGCCUUUUGUAGAAUGAACCGGCGAGUUACGUUAAGUAGCGAGGUUAAGACAGAAAAGUCGGAGCCGAAGCGAAAGCGAGUCUGAAUAGGGCGAGCAGUUACUUGACGUAGACCCGAAACCAAGUGACCUACCCAUGUCCAGGUUGAAGGCUAGGUAAAACUGGCUGGAGGACCGAACCCACGUAAGUUAAAAAUUGCGGGGAUGAGGUGUGGGUAGCGGUGAAAUUCCAAACGAACUUGGAGAUAGCUGGUUCUCUCCGAAAUAGCUUUAGGGCUAGCCUCGCGAGAGAGGAUAAUGGAGGUAGAGCACUGUUUGGACUAGGGGCCCGUCAGGGGUUACUGAAUCCAGAUAAACUCCGAAUUCCAUAUAUCUAUACGCGGGAGUCAGACUGCGAGUGAUAAGAUCCGUAGUCGAAAGGGAAACAGCCCAGAUCACCAGUUAAGGUCCCCAAAUCUAUGCUAAGUGGAAAAGGAUGUGGAGUUGCGUAGACAACUAGGACGUUGGCUUAGAAGCAGCCAUCAUUCAAAGAGUGCGUAAUAGCUCACUAGUCGAGUGGCGCUGCGCCGAAAAUUUACCGGGGCUAAGCAUAGUACCGAAACUGUGGAUGUGCGUAAGCACGUGGUAGGAGAGCGUUCUAAUUGCGGCGAAGCCUAAUCGAGAGGAUAGGUGGAGCGAUUAGAAGUGAGAAUGCCGGUAUGAGUAGCGAAAGAUAGGUGAGAAUCCUAUCCGCCGAAAGACUAAGGUUUCCUGGGGCAGGCUCGUCCGCCCAGGGUAAGUCGGGACCUAAGGUAAGGCCGAGAGGCGUAGCCGAUGGACAACAGGUUGAGAUUCCUGUACUAAUAUUAAUCGUUAAGAGCAAUGGAGGGACGCAGUAGGCUAAUGACGCAUGUAACUGGAAUCAUGUGUAAGCGUCAAGGCUUGAAGUGAGUCAAAUGCUUGCUUCUAAAAGGCUGAGGCGUGAUGCGGAGCGAAAUAAAGUAGCGAAGGUCAUGAUGUCACACUGCCGAGAAAAGCUUCUAGCCAGAGAGAUAUUACCCGUACCGCAAACCGACACAGGUAGUCGAGGAGAGAAUCCUCAGGUGAGCGAGAGAACUCUCGUUAAGGAACUCGGCAAAAUGACCCCGUAACUUCGGGAGAAGGGGUGCUGAUCUCCGGAUCAGCCGCAGUGAAUAGGCCCAAACAACUGUUUAUCAAAAACACAGGUAUCUGCAAAAUCGUAAGAUGACGUAUAGGUGCUGACACCUGCCCGGUGCUGGAAGGUUAAGAGGAGAGCUUAGCGCAAGCGAAGGUUUGAAUUGAAGCCCCAGUAAACGGCGGCCGUAACUAUAACGGUCCUAAGGUAGCGAAAUUCCUUGUCGGGUAAGUUCCGACCUGCACGAAAGGUGUAAUGA
RNAcentral lists this ribosomal RNA (1978 nucleotides) under human vaginal metagenome. Its description in RNAcentral is "bacterial LSU rRNA". It matches the Rfam family "Bacterial large subunit ribosomal RNA", at positions 1 to 2007 of the family's 2925-position model. The record is from RNAcentral.